This is a non-coding RNA of Pelobates cultripes (western spadefoot toad), 900 nucleotides long. The record is from the annotation of a GenBank genome assembly. Lineage: Eukaryota; Metazoa; Chordata; Amphibia; Anura; Pelobatidae.
AGAGAAUUGAGCAGUGAGACUGCAGAGACAUGAUCUAUACAAAGACUGCUUCAUUAAGCUAAAGUUGUUUUAAUGCCUAGUAUUUCUUUAAAUUUGCCAUUCUGUUGGCACCCCCUUUUUAUAUAAUUCUAUUAUUCUGUGUAUUACAGAUGCUACAUAAUUAUUUUCUUUGAGCACACUUAGCAUAUUUCUACCUUCUUCAGUAAAGUACCGUCAUUGCCAAGUAAGUGCCAUGGAUUUAUAACAAAGAGUCUGAGCCACUGGGAAUGUUUUGGGAUCAGAGGCAUAGCUCUCUCUUUAUAAAAACAAACAAACACCAGGCUAAGUAGAUCUGUAUGGUAUGUACACAAACAUAGAUUCUCCAUGUAUCUGUAAACAGGAUAGCUACAGUAUAUUGACACAUCAAAUAAGAAUUUGCUACUAAAAGUUUUGCUGCCUAGCUUAUAAUGGAUAAGCACUGACUUUUCACCUGUGUUUUGAAGGAAUCUCUGUUGACAACACUCUCUUCGACUGUUUCAACUUGGCCCAAACAUGGGUAACUGACAAUCAGCCAAGAAUAAAUUUAGUCAAUACCUUAAAUUCAAGCCAAUUUAAAUUAAGAUCUGAAUGUGUCUGUCUGUAUAUUAAAGCAAACUCUAGCAGCAUGAAGUUGCCAUUAGAAGAUUAGGCAAAAACCACCAAACCUAAUUGAUGACACUUGGAUUUGUAGAACUCUGUGGAGAUAUUUUUACAUUGAAUUUAUAGCAUAAUUUUGGAUAACAUAUUAUUAAUUCAGUUUCUUUUAAUCUGUUGCUUUUUUUUUGCGCUCAAAAUGCCAUUUUAUUUCUAGAUAGAAAAGUGUUUUUCCUGCUACUCUAAAUGUGUUCGUCUUCUGAAAUGGAAAUCUUUGCAAAAACUGUU